Molecule: unclassified non-coding RNA, 370 nt
Filed under: Bombus terrestris (buff-tailed bumblebee)
Lineage: Eukaryota; Metazoa; Arthropoda; Insecta; Hymenoptera; Apidae
Description: misc RNA ENSBTSG00005037795.1
Source: RNAcentral
AAAUUUCAGUGUAUCUCGGUUUCAUGAUGCAAUGAUAAACCCAGGUAUUUUGAAAGAGACGGUUUCUGUAACCGCUGCAAGACAAGAUAUAUCACGAAUGUACAGCUCUGGAAGCAGGAAUUUGAACAAAAGCUGGAAAUGAACUGCCUCUGCUUUAUUUCUCUGGUAUAUUGCGCAAACGAGUUAGUUGUUGCCACGAUCGGAUAAAUUUUGAACACUUCGGAAGAUCCAUGACCAAAUUUGUGGCUUGAAACACAACGGAAAUUAACAUGGAAACGAGAGAACGCUGAUUUCGAGAGCAAUGGGGGAACGGUGGUUUGAAGAGGAAAUUGGAUAAACAGAUAAUAAAGAUUAUAAUUGAACGAAUUGC